RNAcentral lists this transfer RNA (78 nucleotides) under Bryobacterales bacterium. RNAcentral describes it as "tRNA-Glu". It matches the Rfam family "tRNA". From Rfam's summary of the family: Transfer RNA (tRNA) molecules are approximately 80 nucleotides in length. Their secondary structure includes four short double-helical elements and three loops (D, anti-codon, and T loops). Further hydrogen bonds mediate the characteristic L-shaped molecular structure. tRNAs have two regions of fundamental functional importance: the anti-codon, which is responsible for specific mRNA codon recognition, and the 3' end, to which the tRNAs corresponding amino acid is attached (by aminoacyl-tRNA synthetases). tRNAs cope with the degeneracy of the genetic code in two manners: having more than one tRNA (with a specific anti-codon) for a particular amino acid; and 'wobble' base-pairing, i.e. permitting non-standard base-pairing at the 3rd anti-codon position. Lineage: Bacteria; Pseudomonadati; Acidobacteriota; Terriglobia; Bryobacterales. The record is from RNAcentral.
GUCCCCAUCGUCUAGCCCGGCCUAGGACACCGCCCUUUCACGGCGAUAACACGGGUUCGAAUCCCGUCGGGGACGCCA